GUCUAUGGCCAUGUCACCCUGAACGUGCCCAAUCUCGUCUGAUCUCGGAAGCUAAGCAGUGUCGGGCCUGGUUAGUACUUGGAUGGGAGACCACCUUGGAAUACCAGGUGAUGCAGGCA
Molecule: ribosomal RNA, 119 nt
Filed under: Pteropus alecto (black flying fox)
Lineage: Eukaryota; Metazoa; Chordata; Mammalia; Chiroptera; Pteropodidae
Source: RNAcentral